UCAUCUCAUCAAUGUUUUUAGCAAAAUAAAACUAUUCUUAUAAAACCCCUUUGUCCUUUAAUUUAAAUAAAACCCUAACCCCCUCUCAUAUUCUUUACUUUACAACUAAGUUGUGCAACAAAUAAUUUUAGAAUAAAAUGUUGUUUUGUUUUGGUUACAAAUUAAAGUAUUAGUUGAAAAACUAAUUUUGAAUCUUGCUCUCACCUUUGCCCCAAAUUCAAACAGUUUUAAAAUAAAAACAUAAGAGAAAAACUAAAACCUACCCUAACCAGGCCCAACUCUUCCCCUUACCCUCUCUUUUUAUUUUUUUCCUCCUGGCCCGAGCGGCCCAUCCUUCCUUCUCCCCUUCUGGCCCAGCCCACUAGCUCUUCUUUUCCGUUCCGUACCGAUUCGGCGGAGACCAAGUCCCCUUCUCGUUUCUUCCUCACGAGAGGUGCGUGACCCUCCUCCCCCCGUCGCUGUCCACCACCGAGGUCCCCCUCCACCAGCCUGGCUUCACCUGCCCCUUCUUAUCGUCUCGCGCUGAGACCCCUUCCUCCCCACGCCUCCUCCCUCCACUUCUUUCCCCUUCUCCACGAAACCACAACACGGAGAAAAAUCCCCAUCGCCACCGUGAGCAGCUUCACCAUGGCGCCGCCGCUACGGACUGCCCCGCGCCUCGUCGACGCCACCAAAAGGACCGCCUCGACGCCGCGCACCUCCUCCUGCAAGCAAUCGGGACGGGAGGCCCUCGGUCGAGCGGGCGCUCGCCGUUCCCCUCCCUCGGCCGCCGCGCUUCUUCCUCGAUUCCGGCCAUCGCGGCCCCUCCCCGGCAACCUCGACCUCACCAACGUGACCCUGUUCCUCACCGCCGCCGCCUUUCGACGACCUCUUCCUGGUGGCGCCGCCUCCCCUGGGUCUGCGCCGACGAGGCGAGCGCGACGCCCUCACGCGCGCAUCCUGGGGGCCUCCACAUCGCCCGCGCGCGUCACGGCCGCCGCGGUGACCACGUCCUCUGGAACGCGCACGGCAUCGUUCCAGUCGAGCACCUUCCGCGCGCGCCUCGCAUGGUUCGCCACGUCGGCACGCCUGCGUGGCACCUGGCCCACCCGUCAGCGUCUGGGUAGAAAACCCGCUCGCAUUUGCUUCUUCCCGGAUAGGAUCACGAAGUGGUGAUGUGAGAUACGACGAGUUCUCCGGAUGUCCCUCGACAAGCUUUAACAGGCAAGCAUUUCCCCUAUACUUCUGCCUCUGCAGAAGUCGCUCACCUAUUUUAUUUUGCCUUCUCCCUCAUGCUAUCCUUAAGUUGCGUUCUUGUCACGUGUCCCUUCCACUUGUUACCUCAAGCAGCCUAUAUUGACUCCACCAACCACCUACAGCUAUUGUUUGGUUAUCGGGUCUGCCUUGCGAGUCGUAGUGCAUGCUAGUGC
Molecule: non-coding RNA, 1409 nt
Organism: Lolium perenne
Lineage: Eukaryota; Viridiplantae; Streptophyta; Magnoliopsida; Poales; Poaceae
Source: RefSeq, a predicted model, not a curated record